GAUGAACGCUAGCGACAGGCCUAACACAUGCAAGUCGAGGGGCAGCACGAAUCAAGCUUGCUUGAUUUGGUGGCGACCGGCGCACGGGUGCGUAACAGGUGUGCAAUCUGUCCAUAAUCGGGGAAUAGCCCAGCGAAAGUUGGAUUAAUGCUCCAUGUGAGUUUUAGAGGCAUCUCUUUAAUUUGAAACGUAAGGAUUAUGGGUGAGCACGCUUCUGAUUAGGUAGUUGGUGAGGUAACGGCUCACCAAGCCGACGAUCAGUAGGGGUUCUGAGAGGAAGGUCCCCCCACAUUGGAACUGAGACACGGUCCAAACUCCUACGGGAGGCAGCAGUGAGGAAUAUUGGUCAAUGGGCGCAAGCCUGAACCAGCCAAGUCGCGUGAAGGAUGAAGGUUCUAUGGAUUGUAAACUUCUUUAUACGGGAAUAACAUCACCUACGUGUAGGAGCUUGUAUGUACCGUAUGAAUAAGCAUCGGCUAACUCCGUG
This 487-nucleotide ribosomal RNA is filed under the name uncultured bacterium. RNAcentral describes it as "bacterial SSU rRNA". It matches the Rfam family "Bacterial small subunit ribosomal RNA", at positions 28 to 507 of the family's 1533-position model. The record is from RNAcentral.